UGGGCCUGCUUGUUACAGGAAUUAGGAUCGUAUAAGAUUAUCAUUAUCUCUCUAAGCUAGUAUCUUAAGAUACUUGAGACGUGACAGCUGUUUGUAUCGACCUUGAAUGUCUAUAACCUUAAAAUGGAUUUCAUGACUUAAAGGAGGCCUUUCAGCUAUAAAUAUUUUACUCAUAGUAGUGUUACCUUUGGAAAACCAACCUAGAGGAGGAUGCAACAAUAAAAUCAACCAAAAAGAAUUCCUGUGAUCGUUCCACCAAAAAACUUGUAGAAGCUCAAGUGUGAUGGAGAUUCUCAAACUUGCUCCAGGGCCUGGUCCUGAGAUGGGAUUCAUCAACAAGCAGCAGAUGGCCAAAUACUUCAUGUAGUCUUGUCAUGAAUAGCCCAAAAACUUACAAAGAGCCACUGUGUGGUCUUGCCACAUGCAGCAUGAGAGGUGAAAGACUGAUGAACUGUACCUUAGCAAAAGGAAAGUUUUGUUUCUGUGUAUGGUUUUAACAACUAUUUUGAGUUUUUAGCCUUGCUAAAAGACAGUGGAUGUAAUAUUUGAAUAUUUAUGUACUGAGAGAUUCCAUCCCUUUCGUAGGAAUUAAUGGAUAAAGCAGGGGGAAAUUAUUAUUGAAUUGCUGUGCUUUCAGAUCAGACCUGGUCAGAGUCCUAUGAUUUGUCUUUGCACUGAUGCCACCUGAGCUCAGGCUGUAUACUCUAGAUGUAUGCAUAAAAUGAAGUACCCAUGCAAUAUCAACUGAUCACUACUUUUAAAGUUGGAUUAGAUGUCAUGUCUGGGGAAUUGAAUUGACUAAGCAGAUACACAAAACAUGACUGUGUAGUGAGGGUUUUGUGAAACUGUUAAAUUCUUAUUUGGGAAUAUGUACUUUUGCGGUCACAUCGAAAAAGGUAAAAUGGGAGACCCUUGGUAGCCAUUGCUGUACAUUUAGAUUCCAGUAGUGGAUAUGAACAGUGAGAUAUGCACUCUAGUUAAAGAAUGUGACCUGAAGGAUUUUUAGGCAGUCUCAAAAGAGAAUCUGGUGAAUCACUUUAUGACUCAUGAUGAGAAGCUGCUGAGACGUCUCUCAGCAAGGGUGGAGAUACAUUGACCUUAACUGUAUAUGUUGGUAAGACAUUGAAGAAGCAUUUCAAUGAGCUUGUAAACUCUCAGUUGAGGUGGUUCCAUAAACAUCUCUUGGAGGUGGUUUAAUUUCUCUGGCUGUAGUUACUGCAUUUGGAUGAGACACUACACUGUGGCAAAGCUGUGGAAUGACUGACAUUUGGCUAGAAAUAUUAAAGGUGCUGGAAUUUUAGGGUUAUCUUGGUUAAUUAUACAUGUUUAUUAUCAUAUUAUCAUAUGGUGAAGUCAUCACCAUUUUCAAAAGGGUAUGUUCUAGUUACUGAUAAAUUACACUUGUUUGUCUCUCUUGGAAUGACUUCCUCAUGACUGUGUAAUGAAGAUUCUAUCCAGAACUAAAACCUUGGAUUCUGGAGGAACAAUGCAGACUCCUUCUGGGUCCUAGAGCAGUGGACCAAUUUUUGUUUUUGCCCAGAAGUGAUGGAAAUGUGCAAGUUGUAUUUAUAGUAAGAAGGCACUUUUUGACAAUUUUGUUUUAUUGUAUAAUAAAAAUUGAUUGAUUGGUUUCCACA
Long non-coding RNA from Polypterus senegalus (gray bichir), 1637 nucleotides. RefSeq lists it as uncharacterized. The transcript is spliced from 2 exons. Lineage: Eukaryota; Metazoa; Chordata; Cladistia; Polypteriformes; Polypteridae. The record is from RefSeq and is a predicted model, not a curated record.